AUGGUGUUGGAGGCCCACCCAGAAAUCAUCCCACAUGGAUCUUCAUACACACACUUCCUCCUACUGAACAUCCCCUACCAUUUAACAGAGACAGAAAAUGGCACAUGAACCCUUUGUCAGUCUCGCUGGCACUUAGAACAUGGGUGUGUGGUCCAGCUAUCAGAUAAAGGGAAACCCGCUGAGAUUGAGUGUUACACAUUGGAUCAGUCAUCUCCAAAUGCGAUAUGUUUAUGAAAUUCCUCCCCUCAAGGCUCGGGGACCCAUGAGGAAAAGGAGGCAGGAAGAUAGAAGGGACCAGACGUGAUGUAUGACCCCAAGGAAACAGCUUCUUUCACAAACUGCAGGACUGAUACACAUAAAAACUCAUGUACAAGACCUGCACAGGUUCCAAUUAGACAAAAUCUCAUCACUGAAAAGGUGAAAAUACAGAGAGUCCUACCCUUCACCAGGAAAUUAUUUGCAAUUGAUAUAUAAUGAGAAAGAGAAAUCGGUUUCUUCCGAUGGAAUGUCAAUGGGAAUAUCAACCACACCACAAGUUUUGUGGCACCAUGAAAGCUGACCUCAAGGGGGAGACUUCCAGAUGAAAUCCAGUUCUAACCUUCCAUGUGCUGUGACAGAAAUAUGUGCUGUCUUCAUCAAUAGUGGCAUGCCUUCAACCUCAGAAGUAACCAACGCAACAGCAAUAACAUAUUGCUUUGGGAAUCUCUUGAUCUACCUUGACCAAUAACUUUGAAGUUCCUUGUGCCUAGUUUAGUGCUGCAGACUUUAACGCCAGCACUUUAGGAGCAGAGGCAAGUGAAUCUCUACUAGUUCCAGAUUACCUUGGCCUAUAGAGUGAGUUCCAGGCCACUUAAGGCUAUGUAGUGAGACCCUGCCUUAAACAACAACAACAAUA
This is a long non-coding RNA of Mesocricetus auratus (golden hamster), 895 nucleotides long. RefSeq lists it as uncharacterized. NCBI's taxonomy places the organism in Eukaryota, Metazoa, Chordata, Mammalia, Rodentia, Cricetidae. The transcript has 3 exons. The record is from RefSeq and is a predicted model, not a curated record.